UGGGGAAUUUUGGACAAUGGGCGAAAGCCUGAUCCAGCAAUGCCGCGUGUGUGAAGAAGGCCUUCGGGUUGUAAAGCACUUUUGUCCGGAAAGAAAUCCUUGGCUCUAAUACAGUCGGGGGAUGACGGUACCGGAAGAAUAAGCACCGGCUAACUACGUGCCAGCAGCCGCGGUAAUACGUAGGGUGCAAGCGUUAAUCGGAAUUACUGGGCGUAAAGCGUGCGCAGGCGGUUUGCUAAGACCGAUGUGAAAUCCCCGGGCUCAACCUGGGAACUGCAUUGGUGACUGGCAGGCUAGAGUAUGGCAGAGGGGGGUAGAAUUCCACGUGUAGCAGUGAAAUGCGUAGAGAUGUGGAGGAAUACCGAUGGCGAAGGCAGCCCCCCUGGGCCAAAUACUGACGCUCAUGCACGAAAGCGUGGGGAGCAAACAGGAUUAGAUACCCUGGUAGUCCACGCCCUAAACGAUGUCAACUAGUUGUUGGGGAUUCAUUUCCUUAGUAACGUAGCUAACGCGUGAAGUUGACCGCCUGGGGGAGUACGAUCGCAAGAUUAAAACUCAAAUGAAUUGACGGGGUCAUAGCUGUUUCCU
RNAcentral lists this ribosomal RNA (588 nucleotides) under uncultured bacterium. RNAcentral describes it as "partial 16S ribosomal RNA". It matches the Rfam family "Bacterial small subunit ribosomal RNA", at positions 355 to 1375 of the family's 1533-position model. The record is from RNAcentral.